UUCUCCCCGAGAGAAGAUAGCCAGGCUGAGAUUAUUGCAUCGGCAGCCUGUCAGCUGAGGUUAGGCUGAGGUGUGAUUUAAAUUUCAAUACUUUCCACCUUACAGCUGUCUGGGGUGGGGAAAUUACAAGAAGAAAAGCAGAGAGUCUGUUAUUUCUGUUCAUUAGUCUCUCCCGAUUUGCUUUGUUUUUCUUUUGCUUAGCUGGGGAACCUGGGGGAGGAAGGUGCUCCCCAUUUUUCUGAAUUUCCACAGCCCCGGCUUGCUCAGAGAGACUGUGCAGGGCAUGAGGCAGAACCUCUACUAUUGGGCUGGGCUGCGGGAGCAGGAAGAGAUCCUUUUCUGUAUGAGGUACAAGGCAAGUGACGGCAUUUGUAUAGCUGCUACAGCCAGCCUGAAAGAGGCUGUGACCUUUGGGAGAGCAGAGCUGAGGGAGCAGCACCAAAUGUGAUUUCUCCAGCUUCCUCUGGCGUUGCCCACUGGUGCAUUUGGCCAGGUGCAUUUGUUUGUGACAUCAGCUGCGUGUAAAUUACCACAGAUCUUGACUCCCUUGAUCCCCUCCAAUUGCUUCCUUGCUCGGGCUGUGACUCGAGCCACUGUGAACUUGGGGCUGAUAUCUUCCACUGCAGUCACAAAGGCAGGAGGGGAGGGUGCUGAUGCAGAUGCCCAAGCAAGGGCUGCAGUCAUUUGCCCCUGCUGCAAGCCCUAUAGGGAAAACAGAACCCAGUGCAUUAGGCCUAUUAAAUGAAACCUUCAUUUGAGGCAUAUGAAUUUCCUUUGGAGUGUGCAUGAACCUUUUAUGCACAAAUCUGUGGAUUUGUGUAGCACGUUUUCCAUGAGCGCUUUUCCAGUGUUCAUUUCGGGCUCGUUACGUGCAGUGAGCUCACUGUUCUUCUGCAGCUCAUUUGUGUGAAUGAACAUAUGCUUACAGGGUCUGGUCACGUGCACUGAGCACAGCGUUAGUGUGUGUAUGGCAUUGUGCUUCUGCCAGCAGCCCUAUUGCACAUGCACAGUGCAUGGGUGUCAUUUCAUUUGAUUGCUCUAUUUUCCUGUUCUCCAGAUUGAACCAUUGGGGUCAUUUUAUGACUGCAUCAGGUGUUUUAUUUCCUCGCACAGCAAACGUAAAUUUGCUAAUGUCAGAUUUAUUCUGAAUCAAUACACUGGUGCAAUUCUCAAUAGGGGAAAACGUCAGCCUUUGUUGCACUUCAUGGAUGGGCAUUUUUGCAUAGCUAGCAUGUGUGUCCUCGCACAGCACACGUGCUUUUGUUGCCCAUAGAAACAAGGUACAUUGCACUGAAAAUAACCUGUGCUGUAAUGUUUGCUCAUGAUGGUGUGGUUACAGCUUGUGCACUCGGGGGCCAUAGUAAAAGUGUCCUUUAUCUCUAAAACUCAGUAUGCUGAGUGCUAUACUUGUGCAGUGUAAGCACAUAUUUUCUUGCACUUGCUGGCAGAGUUGUGGAAGUGUUGAGUCUUCAUCUUGUUAAAAUAACAGAACGGUUGUCCAUAUAUUUUCUAAUUUCCUAAAACAUCCUCUGGCUUUCAUGGUUUAAAUUUUUGUCUGUCCAAAUGAUCCAUGUCAAAGCAUCAGGAAGGAAAUUUAGGCAGUUAUGGAAGUGGAAUGGAGCAAAGUUGUGAAUUAAUGCUUUUCUGAUGCUAUAUAAAAGGGAAAAUGGUGAAAAAGAGCCACAAAUAAAAUACAAAAUGAACAAGAUCAGCCAAGGUAAUGUCGAGGUUUGUACUUAAAUCGGAAACGUUUACAGCGAAAGAAUUCAGAUGACAGCAUUCCUGUCUUAUUCCAUCCUGUGCUCAUGCCAUCCUGCCCCACAUCUCACAGCCCCUGGGGUCAGCCCCUGGGAAGCAGGAAGGAUGACGCAGCACUUCCAGCCUUGUUCCUUCCUUUGGCUGGCCUGCCUUGUACUUAGCUGCUUUGAAAAUGAGUUAGGCCUUCAUUAUCCCUUCAUUUCUUUUCAAUGGCAUUUUAAAAGACCUGACACAGAGUAGGCAUGAUUGAAGCACCUGCUGCUUUUCUCUGUAAUUACCCAGUUUCCUUGUUGGGACUGAAAUUAUUGCCCUGCAAGUGUGCAACGUCCCUAUUAGCACGUAUGAGCUAGCCAAACACCAACCUGCCUGGCUGCAGCUGGCACCUCUCCAUGUAUUGAGACACAAAAACCAUUUUCCUUGCCUGCUGGGCUGAGCUGUGGUAUACCUGAGCCCAGCCCAGCGGUGGAACUGCAGCAGAGGUGAUCUGUGACUUUGACAGAACAGUGGAAAAGGGAGGAGCAGUGCCAACGACUGGGACAGUGUGCUGACAGGGACAGCAUGCCUUUUGGGGGCUGGAAGCUGUGAAGGGCUUGGGAGUCCCACACACCUGGGUGCUGGUCAGAUCGUGGUCUGCACAAUCAGAGGUAGUGAAGCUCUGUGCAGAGCCAGGGAAGGUGCCUGCAUGCUGAGAGUUUCUAGGAGCUGGUUGAGAGUUACAGCAUCUUUUGUCCAUCUGUUUCUCUAUUAAUGGGAACUAGAGCUAGGGAAAAAUAUUCCUGAGCUGUAACCAGUGCAACGACUGAGGCCUUGUCUGUAGCCUGGGGAGGGAGAAUGCAGCCAGGAGGUAGAAGAGGCAAAUCUGAGAAAAAUGAAUAACGAGUCUUUGUUAUGGAGAGCGUUCUGCAGCAUUUGCUUCUUAAAAGGUGUUCAAGGAGCAUCUGCGGCCUUUGUCAAGGGAACUCAGUCCAGAGAAAUUGGAAAACAUGGAAGUUAGGAACAGUUAAGAUUUCUCAGCCCUUUUGCAAAAGGCAGGAGUAUGCUGGGGGGUCGUGUGUGACACCAGAGGGAACUGACAGUGAUUCCUGCAGGUAUUUGUUGCCCAGCUGCUAUUUUUGACUUCAAAUCCCAGAGAAUCAUCAAAUAUCUAGUCCUGGAGCUUGAGUGCUGUCCCUCUGCUGAGCCCCCUGUCCUCUCCUGGGCUCUGAAUUGAGCUCCCAAGAAGCAUGCGAGAGUGUUAGUCAGUGGAUGUGCAGUGAGAGAAGAGAAAGAAAGGAUUAUGCUGAAGGAUCAGUGCAGUAAAUGACUUCCACGCUCAGGGAGCUCACAAGCUCCCUGUAAUAAAGGAAGAGGCAAAACCAGAUCCCGUGUAGCCUCUGUGAUGCACAGCUAAACCUUAUCUCAGCCUGUUGGGUUUCCACGGGGCUCAGCUCGCACCCCAGCCCCUCACUUCUCCCUCCCCACAGCAACGCCUGCUGCCUGCCUUCCCCCCUGGCCUCCCUCUGGGUCCUUGUGACAGGCUUAGGGAUCCUGGGACCCUGAUGCUGGAAUGGCAUUUUGGCCUAGCUGGAAUUGUUUAUAAUCACAGAGCUUUGAUGCUGUCUCCAAGGCCUCUGGAGAGCUGAGAAGGGCUAUUUUUCAUGUGAUGCUUUUGGAGUAUGCUAUGGGAAAAGGUCAAGGGACGCAGUGGGAAUGAGUGGGUCACAUACUCAAUGGUUUAGGGCACGACGGCAGCAUCGGUUCUUUAAGAUCUCCAAGCCUGCUUUGUAAAAAUAAGCACCUCUUACUGAGCUGCCUGGGAAAGGAGAGGGGCACGCCUCCUGCGAGCGGAUGUUCACGGCGCUCCUCUGGGUUUGCUCUCUUGCCUUGGCAAUUGCUGCAUCUCGGCAUCCUUGUGAACCACACAGAUCCCUCAAACAGUGCACAGCAUUUUAAAAAGCCUCCUUGCUUACCGCUCUGACCUUUGUAAUACAAGGAGAAAUUCUGUAAGAGCAGAAGCUCCCCUCCUGCACCUGGCACACGGCUGUCUUCCAGCAGGCCGGAGAGCAGCACUGCAGGGCUCCUCAGCCCAUCCCAGUGUCCACCACAUCAUGCUGGGCCUCUGGGCAAAGCGAGCUCUAGGCCCAACAGAUAUUUGACUUUUUUUUGCAUGUGCUGCCUUUGCUCGUUUAAAUCUGGGAGGGGGAGCAGUCUAGCAAGGGUUGUCCUUUUUUCCUCCAUGAUGCAUACGUACUGCAGAUAAGAGCCAGGAACAGGAAGCGGAGGGGUGAGGUGGCAAGUAAUUUACAUUGGAAAUAGAAGCUGAAUGUGCAUUUCCCUAUUCUGUUGCCAUCAAUCACUCAGACUUCCCGUAUGCUGUGAAAUAAAGGAGUGGAGUUUGCUUGCUCCCCACUUCCCCCAGGAAUGGAAGCAUUCAUUUGUUUCACUGUUGAGAAAUGCUGAUCGCUCAGAGCAUUUUGUUUUCUUAGAUGUGCUCCACUCGGAAGCUGAACUUUUUGGCUUCCUCCUGUUUGGACUGCAGAAAUGUCUUUGUAUGCCCUGCAGAUGUGGGGAGUCACUGCUGGUGCUGUAGCUCUGAAAGGGAAGGAAAGGUGCUGCUGAAAUACAGACGGGCCCCCAGCCAGUUGAACAGAUACUUCAUUGCAGAGCACUGGCAAAUACUCUCUGUUCUCUAGCUGUUUUAACUUGUUUAUGUGAUCUCGCACCUGACAGGAGUGCAGCUAGGGCCAUGUCCUCCUUGCCAUUGGAAACCUGUGAGUAUUUUAUGGGACUAACAAAUUUGUUGAGAGAAAAUUAUAGCAGGGAAUUAUGUGGAAUAGAUAGACCAGCAUGUGCUCCCUGUUAUUUACAAUUUAGCUCUGCUGGAAGGCAUGGGGACAGUAGCAGAGAUGUAGAGUGGAGGACUGGGAAAGGAAUAGAAGGAGAAAAAGAGGAAAAACAGAAAGAUAUAGGACAAACAGGCAAGUGAAUGAAAAUUACCUGUCUCAUAGCAAAUAGCAUAAAUGAAAUAAAUAUGAAAGAAUUCGGAUAGCUCCACCCUGGAGAGACUCAAUAGAAAAUGACCAGCUGUGUAUUUUUUUUUUUUUACUCUGUCAUCAUGUGUAUGGCAUAUAUCUGUGGCUUUUAGAUGGUGUCUGGUCCCUGGUUAAGCAAUGUCUUCCUAUUACUUACCACUCUCUAAUUAGCCAAAAUCUUAUCCUGCACAGGAGGGGCUGACUUAAUUCCUUUGUGGAGGCACUCAGGCAAUGGACAGUUCUGGUCUUGGGGGAUAACUGAAGUAAUGGGGCGUUAAAAAGCUCUUGUGUGACUUCAGCAUCCUUUGACAACUCUGGGAAACUUGGUUACAGCAUGGUGUUUCCAAGCUUCCAUGAGAUGGCUGGGAGCGCAGCGAUGAUACUAUUCAGUUCAAUGGCUGUAACAAAGAAGCUGAGAGGAGCUGUGGCCUGGAAAUUUCUAUUGGCUAUGGGGGACUGAAGCCCCACUCCCUGGGGUUGUGAGCUCAGCAGCUUUUAUGAGCUCAGCCAUUGUGGGUCAGGGCAGAACACACAAGGGAGGCCUGUUGGGAAAACCCAAGGGCUGGAAGGAAAUGCUGUUGGUGACUCAAAAGGCAGAGCUCUUCCUUUUGUUGAUGUUGGAGUUGAGCCACACAGACACGUCCUUCCAUAAUUAUCUACUCGUUGCUUGUAGCUCAUGCUUUUUAACCACUGGCGUUAUCAUGUGUUGCCUGCACACCCCACCACGUGAGGCUGGAACCCACAGCCGGAGCUCAGGUAUCACACUGAUGUCUGAUAAGCACGUAUGUGUUUGCUGCUGAGAUGAGAUGCGUUCAGCCCAACGCGUAUGUGAGUCCUGAGAACGUGCAGAUGUUGUGACAAUGGAGGCAGGCCAUGGGCAGCAUUCAUUGUGCUGCUGUCCUGCUUGCCCACGGGGGAUUGCUUGCACAUAAACACCCAGGAAGAUGUGUCACUAACGGCUUGGCUUGAGACUGCUGAGGGGAGAUGUUCGGUGCUCUGCGGGAGUGUGGGCUGGUUAGGAAGUGUGGCUGGGGGAAGGGAUGAAUGGAUGUCAAAACAUCCUGACAGAGGGAGAAAAAUCAGCGCCGAGUCCCGCGUUAAGCAACAGAGACCCUUAGCGGUCACCUGGAGCAAAACACGGGUGCUGAGCUCAGUGCUGUGUGACUGAUUGCUUUUUUUCCACCUGCCGAUUUCAGAAUCAUUUAAGUAGUAACUUUAGAAAAAAUAAUUGAAAAAAAAAAUCAGUUUCAGUUGUUUUAACUACAGUUAACUACAGUUGUUUCACUGUUGUUGUUUUUCCUUUAGUUUCCUAACAGCCUAUUCUGAAAUGGGAAGGUGCUUUGUUUUCCAUCCUUAUUGAUUGCCAUUUGAUAUUGCUGUAUUCCAAGGAUAGUCACAAUUACUGCCUUCUCUUGAGAAGUUAUUACUUCUGCUGUUUAUGUCAAGUUCAUCUGUUUUUAUGCUUCCACCCAACUGUACCACCACCUCUUCUCCCUUCCUUCCAGCCAGCCCAGUGUCUGCUGUACCCAAAUUGAGUGAACGUGUUAGCUCACCAGAUUCUGCGAUGCUCUCUCUCACUCUGCUAGCCAAUGCACAGAUAAUUUGAGAAAUAUUGUUUGCUCCUAUGGGAGUUAUUUCCAUCUGAUUAGCCUGACUCUUUGCUGUGAGUGAGUCCAGUCCACCCCUGCACACAUUUGCUCUUCAGCAGCACUGCCUUCCUGCCCCAGGAGCACUGCUGAGAUCCAUGGGCUUCCAAGAGCUUUUUCUGAGAAUACCUUCUCUAGAAUUACUCAGGUAACAAUCAGCACUAGGCACAUCAUCCCAGCUCCAGUGCUCUUUGUGGGGUUUGCUUGCUGUCCUCCUAGUGGUAGGGGCUGCUACCUUCAAGGGGGCUUGUUGUAGCUUGAUGAGUGGCAAGGCAGGGAUCAGAAAAGAUGAGCUGUUUGUCUUAAGGGGUAGCUCAUUUUGGGUAAGUCACUCCGGGUAAAUCUCAUGGGGGCAUGCAGAACAAAGAUAAUAGUCUGACUCACCUUUACAAAGAGCUUAGAGAACUCAGCUGAGAAGUGUUUUGAAAGAGCUAUGCUCUGUUACAGUGAUGCUGCAUUUGUCUGCCAUCCCCAAACCUCUGCUACGGCUUUUCCAGCAGGAUUUCUACUGGUCUGGUGUAGAGCAGAGCAAUACGCUGCAGAGCUCUUCCUUAUUUUGCUAUCUUUUCCAAUGAUGUUCAGCCACAAUGUAUAUUACAAAACCAUUAUGGCUACUGCUAGGCUGCUGUGUGUUGUCAUCACUCAGCAACAGCCAUUUCCUGGAUUCCAUGGGAACCUGCUUAAAUUUCAUUGCAGUGACAAUUCAAAAUUAAAACGAUCCUACAAAAUAAAUCCAGAAAGCUGAGAUUUCUUCUCAUCCUAAGUUCCCUUCUGCAUUGUGUUACUGGCAUUUAUUACCUAUUGGUGCUGUAAGUAGUAAAUUUUCACAGUCAUGAGCUGUUGCUGCAUUAAGAGAAGCUGCAAAGGAGGCAGUGUGCCAAAAGGUGGAUGGAUGGAUUUAGAAGAACCGUGUGAUUCUGAACAAACCUCUCUGUAGCUGGAGAAAAGUCUCCAGUAGAGAUCAGACCUUGAGGUUAGCAUCUUCAUCACUCUUAGACCUCUUCAUACAGCUUUCAACUCUUGGUCCACUCUCAGAAGAGUCUUUCUGAGUAAAUAGUCUCCCGCUGAGCGGUUUGCUCCCUUGCUGCAGGGGCCUCCGCUAGAGAUCUGCCUUAUGCUGACGCCCAGCAUGGGCACUGACAGCUGUGGUUUGCUUACUGCUUCACAGAAAGUCUGUGUCUGUAGCAGAUGAUGUGUGCAAAGUGCGUGGUGAUUGUUUCUUUAAGGCCCCCCUCUACUCUCCUUCCCUCUCCACUGCUGCUCUCUUGGUAUUACUGCUGAUACAGAUUUUUUCUCUUGUUCAAUUUCGGUGCACCUGCUCAUAUAAACAAGACUGCAGUGGGGUUGCUCAAACUGAGCUUAUAUAUGACAACAGAAGCAGCACCCUAAAGCACAUUCCUAUGCACAGAGGAGUCAUUAAUACAGAGAAUGAAGCCUGGCUUUGGCAGUUUAGAUGCAUGGCUUAGGUGACCCACAGAAGCUAGUCGUUAAAUUAGGAUAUUCUCUCAGUAAAAGGUCAGAUCAACUUAUGGGAAGCUGCAGGAAUGUUUUAGAGAGCUUGAAGUCAAUCAAACAGGAGGCUUUCCUAUCAUCCUUUCAGUUCUAGAUAUUCAGCCUAUCUAUACAUCUUCAUUACUGCAUUACACACUCAGUGUGAACCUAACUACCUAGAUAUGCUAAAGGCAAAGCAUUCAGAUUCAAUUUUACAAAAGACAAGCUGACUUAAAACAUGAAUUACUGUAUUAUGCCGUCCUUGAGCCUUCAAGACAGGCUUGUACUCGAGCAGCUAUGUGUUUUUUCAUUUCAUAGAAUCAUAGAAUCUGUUAUUUUGUCUUCAUUCCUGCUUCAAUCCGAGUUAGAUAUCUUGGGUUAGAAAGAACAUCUUCUUACAAUUGUUUUUUUCCUUCACGUUUCUAUGUAACCAGAAGACUUAAAGAUGGAUAGGAAGGCCUUUGUGGCCAACUUUCAUGAGGCUGUGCCAUGCAGGAACUGGGUAGUAGAAGCUGUUUGGGAGGCUGGCAAAUGGAUAAAGAAGCCUGAGAACCUUGAGGCAGCAAAGGGUGGUUAAGAUAACCCAGAAUUUAUGCAAGAGAAUAGAUUUUAGGAAAGUUGUGAUGACUAGAGGGUGUGAUUUAAACUCACUGUGGGCUGGAGAACCUAUGAAAAGGACAAAAUGAGCAGCUACCUCUCAACACCUUCACUGCAUCUGCCUACUGGUGGAGUAGCUGUGGAAACAUUAUCAUGUGAAGUGUUUGUGAAGCCACGCUCUGUGCCUGGAGAAGGAGAUACUUGAUCAAAGGAGUGGAUAGAAGUGAAUCUACAGCUAACUUCUGAAACAGAGAUGUGAUCCCUGACAGGACCUUCUCCCUCCCAGCUCUGUGUGGUGGACAAAGUGCAAAGCCUGGCACACUGCUGACUCUGUUCUGUGUUCUUGACUGUUCCCCAUGGCUUAGGGGUUCAAGCACCUUUCCUCCUCUUCCCCAGCAUAUGUGGGAAAGCAGGGCUAAGAGUCCUGGACCAGGCCAAGGCAGUGACUCAAGAAGAAGUUGAAGUGCUCCCCAGGCCUUGUGAACUGAACAAAACAACUGCAGGAGGCUCGGUGAUGGCAGCCUUGGGGCUAUAUGGACUUAGCACAAGCAUGGCUGGUUGUCAUGUACUCUACAAAGAUCCAGUGCAAGACACAUUUCUGCUGCUGGGUUUGGUGACUGGUUGUGCUCACUUUUCUCUAGUUAGGAGCAGAAGAGAUAAAAAUCAAAAGCUGGUGAAGCUUUAGCACCUGCCUCAAGCACAGUUCAGCUGAUGAUAACCACCAGUCACUGCUCUCAGCAAGAGACCUGAUUCCACCCAUCAUGCUUGGACUGAGACAGGCUAGAAUCCAAAAAUGCAAAUGCCAAAACUGCUGUUUUCUUCUUAACCCUUCUUAUCAGCUUGGGGAGUAAAGCCUGGUGACAGCGGUUGUCACACUGGCAAGAUGGGUUUGUGUUCAGGACAGAGCAAGUUGAAGAAAGCAAAAGGGAACUCUGAACGGGAGAGCCUUGCAAUGGGACAACAGCCAAGAGAGCACCUGAACAGCAGAGCACUUUGGUAGCAGCGAGAAAAGUCAAUACAGGUUCUGAUAGCACAGCAGCACUCAGCAGGCUCAUUGCUUUCUCUGACCUACAGUGCUGACAUCCAAACUGAAAGGACUACAUUUAAGUGUCAAAGAGAUUCCCAGCCAUCUGCUGCCUCACCAGCUGCUCUCAGUGCAGGAUGAAACUUAUCUCAAUUCAGGAACCUGGGCCUCAGGCAGAGGGGUGGAAGGAGCAUCGCUGACCUCACAAGUGCUGUCUGCAGGAUGCGCGCCCAGACUGGUGCAGACGUUGGAAAUUGGAUGAAUCUCUUGUGGUAUCUCCCUCUUUGGUCAGCACAAGCAGAGCGUUUCCCCAGCGGUGCAGUGGAGAAAGACUUGGAUCAUCCUUGUUUGUCCCACGCACUGGCUCAUCAGAUGUUUUAGAGAAGCUUCUGCGAUGUCCUUCCUUCAACAAACCAUGCACUGGGGCACCCAGACUGCAAUGGGCAGCAGCCCGUGCUGAUGGAAAGAAGAUGCUGUCUGGAUCCCAUGGAGAGCAAGGAAGCUCCCUGGCUGUGGCUGUUGGGCAUGUUGAGGAGAUGCAUCACUGAAGGAUUAAAAUACAACUGCUGUGAGCUGGGAAGCAAAGCAGGCCAGGACUAGAAGCUGCCAUGGAAGGAGAGGCACAUGAUGAAGUCUGCGGAGCUGCUUGCUGAUGGGACCCACUGCCACCAUCCUGCACCCUGCUCUGGGCACACAGGGACCCCCAGCACUGCCCGAGUCCACCAGGAAACAGCCCAGAAACCUCAGUUUAUUUUCCCCCCCCCUUGUUGUUUUUCCCUCUCAGAAUUAUAUCUGACACCAGAGUCCAUCAGACAAAGUCCUUACAAACACAGGAGUCCUGAAGACAUCGGCUGAAUGUUUUCCUGGUAUAAAGAAGAAGAGGAGGAGAAAGAGGUGGUGACGGUGCGGGUGCAGAGAGUUUGGACUGGGAUGGAGGGCGUGGUGGAAGGAGAGAGGUCGGUAUGUUUGUACCAAUGUUUUUAAAUUAUUUUUUUAUUUGUUCAUAUGUUCUCUUUUUUUUAAAAAAAAAA
Lagopus leucura (white-tailed ptarmigan) is the source of this 10558-nucleotide long non-coding RNA. RefSeq lists it as uncharacterized. The record is from RefSeq and is a predicted model, not a curated record. NCBI's taxonomy places the organism in Eukaryota, Metazoa, Chordata, Aves, Galliformes, Phasianidae. The transcript is spliced from 11 exons.